AGGACGAACGCUGGCGGCGUGCUUAACACAUGCAAGUCGAACGGAAAGGCCCUGCUUUUGUGGGUGGGGGAUGUGCUCGCGGCCUAUCAGCUUGUUGGUGGGGUAAUGGCCUACCAAGGCUUCGACGGGUAGCCGGCCUGAGAGGGUGACCGGCCACACUGGGACUGAGACACGGCCCAGACUCCUACGGGAGGCAGCAGUGGGGAAUAUUGGACAAUGGGCGGAAGCCUGAUCCAGCAACGCCGCGUGAGGGAUGACGGCCUUCGGGUUGUAAACCUCUUUCAUCAUCGACGAAGCAGCGUGUUUAGCGUUGUGACGGUAGGUGGAGAAGAAGCACCGGCCAACUACGUGCCAGCAGCCGC
RNAcentral lists this ribosomal RNA (362 nucleotides) under uncultured soil bacterium. RNAcentral describes it as "bacterial SSU rRNA". It matches the Rfam family "Bacterial small subunit ribosomal RNA", at positions 26 to 518 of the family's 1533-position model. The record is from RNAcentral.